GAAUUUUGGGCAAUGGCCGAAAGACUGACCCAGCGACGCCGCGUGCGGGAGGACGCCCUUCGGGGUGUAAACCGCUGUCAGAGGGGAAGAAACACCUGGACGUGAAUAGCGUCCGGAUUUGACGGUACCCUCAAAGGAAGCGCCGGCUAACUCUGUGCCAGCAGCCGCGGUAAUACAGAGGGCGCGAGCGUUGUUCGGAAUCACUGGGCGUAAAGCGCGCGCAGGCGGGACGACAAGUCUGGAGUGAAAUUCCGGGGCUCAACUCCGGGACUGCUUGGGAAACUGUCGACCUGGGGACCGGUAGAGGCCGGUGGAAUUCCCGGUGUAGCGGUGGAAUGCGUAGAGAUCGGGAAGAACACCCGUGGCGAAGGCGGCCGGCUGGGCCGGAUCCGACGCUGAGGCGCGAAAGCGUGGGGAGCAAACAG
RNAcentral lists this ribosomal RNA (425 nucleotides) under uncultured bacterium. RNAcentral's name for it is "bacterial SSU rRNA". It matches the Rfam family "Bacterial small subunit ribosomal RNA", at positions 359 to 775 of the family's 1533-position model. The record is from RNAcentral.